RNAcentral lists this unclassified non-coding RNA (228 nucleotides) under uncultured fungus. Its description in RNAcentral is "sequence contains ITS1, 5.8S rRNA gene". The stretch from base 180 to 228 matches the Rfam family "5.8S ribosomal RNA", at positions 1 to 49 of the family's 154-position model. The record is from RNAcentral. Lineage: Eukaryota; Fungi.
UCUCCGUAGGUGAACCUGCGGAGGGAUCAUUACUGAGUGAGGGCCUUCGGGCUCGUCCUCCAACCCUUUGUGAACACAACUUGUUGCUUCGGGGGCGACCCUGCCGUUUCGACGGCGAGCGCCCCCGAAGGUCUCCAAACACUGCAUCUUUGCGUCGGAGUUUGAAACAAAUCGAACUAAACUUUCAACAACGGAUCUCUUUGUUCUGGCAUCGAUGAAGAACGCAGC